RNAcentral lists this transfer RNA (72 nucleotides) under Perca flavescens (yellow perch). It matches the Rfam family "tRNA". From Rfam's summary of the family: Transfer RNA (tRNA) molecules are approximately 80 nucleotides in length. Their secondary structure includes four short double-helical elements and three loops (D, anti-codon, and T loops). Lineage: Eukaryota; Metazoa; Chordata; Actinopteri; Perciformes; Percidae. The record is from Rfam by way of RNAcentral.
GGCUUGUUGUUCUAGGGGUAUGAUUCUUGCUUAUGGUGCGAGAGGUCCCAGGUUCAAAUCCUGGACGAGCCC